UAGGGAAUCUUCGGCAAUGGGGGCAACCCUGACCGAGCAACGCCGCGUGAGUGAAGAAGGUUUUCGGAUCGUAAAGCUCUGUUGUAAGAGAAGAACGUGUGUGAGAGUGGAAAGUUCAUACAGUGACGGUAACUUACCAGAAAGGGACGGCUAACUACGUGCCAGCAGCCGCGGUAAUACGUAGGUCCCGAGCGUUGUCCGGAUUUAUUGGGCGUAAAGCGAGCGCAGGCGGUUUAAUAAGUCUGAAGUUAAAGGCAGUGGCUUAACCAUUGUUCGCUUUGGAAACUGUUAAACUUGAGUGCAGAAGGGGAGAGUGGAAUUCCAUGUGUAGCGGUGAAAUGCGUAGAUAUAUGGAGGAACACCGGUGGCGAAAGCGGCUCUCUGGUCUGUAACUGACGCUGAGGCUCGAAAGCGUGGGGAGCAAACAGG
RNAcentral lists this ribosomal RNA (429 nucleotides) under bacterium. RNAcentral describes it as "partial 16S ribosomal RNA". It matches the Rfam family "Bacterial small subunit ribosomal RNA", at positions 355 to 776 of the family's 1533-position model. The record is from RNAcentral.